UAUUCCAUAAAAAAAAAAUGUAACAAAACCCGAGAUAAAUUAUGAAAACGAAGAGAGUGAAAAGAGCAUAACGAUAAGGAUUAAGGACUACCACAUGUUCUCAUAUUCAACAAGUAAUCAUGUGGCAAAACUUAAAUCACAAUCUCCAACUCUUUCGCCUGUAUAGCAUCUUUUACAUUCUGGUGCCUACAUUGCUAACAAGGACAAGAUGAUCACCAUCUCUGAUGAGCUCCAAAUCCUCAAUUUCGG
Molecule: unclassified non-coding RNA, 249 nt
Filed under: Hevea brasiliensis (rubber tree)
Lineage: Eukaryota; Viridiplantae; Streptophyta; Magnoliopsida; Malpighiales; Euphorbiaceae
Source: RNAcentral